This 253-nucleotide ribosomal RNA is filed under the name uncultured bacterium. Its description in RNAcentral is "partial 16S ribosomal RNA". It matches the Rfam family "Bacterial small subunit ribosomal RNA", at positions 524 to 776 of the family's 1533-position model. The record is from RNAcentral.
UACGUAGGUGGCAAGCGUUGUCCGGAUUUACUGGGCGUAAAGAGCGCGCAGGCGGCUGGUCAAGUCCGAUGUGAAAUCUCCCGGCUUAACUGGGAAACUGCAUCGGAAACUGAUCGGCUUGAAGGUGGGAGAGGGUAGUGGAAUUCCCGGUGUAGUGGUGAAAUGCGUAGAGAUUGGGAAGAACACCAGUGGCGAAGGCGGCUAUCUGGACGGUUUCUGACACUAAGACUCGAAAGCGUGGGGAGCAAACAGG